UUGGCUAUGCUAAUGUUAUUCUAGCAGUGUUUUUAUUUAUUUUUGUAUUUAAUAUUUAUAAUAUGUAUUUAUUAUUUUCUCGAAAAAUGAAAGUGUGAACAUUUUUCUAAGAAAUCAAAUUGAGAUUACAGUAAAGAAUUAACAGAAGCUCUUCUACGACCAGUCAUCAAGUUAUAUAUACUAUGUGUGACGUCGGUGACGUCUGUGAUCGGGAUAUUUGGGCAACGGGUCCGUGUGAACCGUGUGAACAAACAAUGACGUUUUGGCAACGGUGUGCUGAUAUCAUCCUUAGAAUCUUGCAAAGUAGAAGAGUUGGCAAAUGUAGCGAAUUCUUUGGAUUUUAUUGUAUAACAUUGUCUUGUGUCGUAGGUUUUUUCCUUUCGCUUCUUCUUCUGUUCUAUUGCAUCACCGGUCUUAUCAACCGCGGUCCAUUGCCCCUAUAUUACCGCUUUAAAGAAUAUUCGAUAUGAAAUUUAAUCAUAAUUUACCUACAUGAAUGCUGUAUGGAAAAUUAAACCAUUUAAGUAUAUUAUUAAGUUCGGUGAUGGCGAUGACUGUGAUCAUGACCGCGACCCUUGCGGCCGCGCAUGCGCAGCCUGCUGCGGAGGAUGCGCCGAAAGCAUCACCAGGUGUACAAGUGGAACCUGCAGUGGCGCAAUAGGUGUAUGUGGCGGAGUCAUAUUCUGUACAAUCAUCUUUCUCGCUUUAUUUGGUUUUGUAAUUUAUUGCAUCGUUGAAUUUGCGAAACAACCUACAAAAUACAUUGCUCAAGUGAAAAAGAUAUUUGGUAAAUAACAAAUAGACCUACUUUUACCAUAACUUCUGCUGCAAUCUUGGAUUUUUAGGUACAUAAUAUCCGUAUGAAUCAUGGAUAUUAAAUAUGCGAUGGAAUGCGGUGUGGUUCGAUGAUUUUAAACAAUUGCACCGAACUUUGCAUUUGAUUUGAUGCGGUUUUUUGAAGAAUCUUACAAUUUUAGUAUCAUCGGUGAACGAAUCACUUUAAUGUACAAAGUAUUUCUCAAGAUAUAAUAAAAGAAUAAUGCACAUUUUAGGCGAUAUUUCGACUAGCCAAUAUAAAAAUACAAAUCGUGCAUUGUUACGAGGCUUCGUGCGUGCAUCGGCGCGAAAAGGAACUUUCCCAUAAAAUUUGAUAUCUAAUAAAACAAUCCAAGAGAGUAUCAAUUUAGAUUGAAAAGACGCAUAAUUUUAAUUAUAUGAAUUAUUACAUGAUUAUUUGGUCAAAAUAUUAAUAUGGAAUAGAGCAUAUUUUAUUAACAUUUUGACCAAAUAAUCGAAUGAAAUAUCAAAAUGAAUGGUGGUCAUAGAUUGAAAUAACUUGUAUGUUUAAACAUAUAUGUAUAUGGAAAAUCGUGAUUAAAUGAAAGUAAACUGCAAAGAAAGACAGUAGUCGUGUUUCCUUUUUGAUUUUUGUAAACUUUGCAAUUGAUUUGAUGCUUUUUUAAGUAAAGUAUGAAAAAUUGGCUUUAAAAAGUUUUAUACUGUAUUUUUGUGUUAUACCUAUAUCUCUAUUCUUACUCAUAAGUCUAUUUUGGAAUGAAAUCACAUUUUGAAAGUUUUCUUUUAACAAUUUGUUCUCCUCUGUUACUUAUUACGUCAAUAAAUAAUGUGAUAUUUAUUUUAAUUUUUUACUUUAUCUCAAAUACUAUUUCAUGUCUAAAUUAAUAACGUAAGCAAGAGACAGUGAUAGAGAGAGUCAUAAAAUUGUGUUACAUUCUUCGUGUCGCACGCUUGUUGAAUCUGGUUAUAUCUGGAUUUUCGUGUCGCACGCUUAUUGAAUCCGGUUAUAUCUGGUUAUAUUUGACUAUAUCCGGUUAUAUUAUGACCACCACGCGACUUGAUUGCCGAAUCGCUUGCAUGAUAUAUUUUUGUACAAUAUACUUUAAGGCUUGGAAUCAUCUAAACGUUAUCGCGGUUUCUUCCUCUGCCUUAUGACGUUGGAGACCUUGAUCCGCAUAUAGAUUUUCACAUUGCAGACAUCAGUCUCUCACAUAGAUCGUUAUUUUGUAACCGCAAGGUUCACUUUAUUUUCUAUUUAAUACAAAUGUAAUUUUAAUGUGAGAGAAGAAAUAAUGAUUGCCUGUGGCGUU
This is a long non-coding RNA of Plodia interpunctella (Indianmeal moth), 2108 nucleotides long. RefSeq lists it as uncharacterized. NCBI's taxonomy places the organism in Eukaryota, Metazoa, Arthropoda, Insecta, Lepidoptera, Pyralidae. The transcript has 4 exons. The record is from RefSeq and is a predicted model, not a curated record.